GUCGUCAGCUCGUGUCGUGAGAUGUUGGGCUAAGUCCCGCAACGAGCGCAACCCUCGCCUUUAGUUGUCCAGCAUUCAGUUGGCGACUCUAGAGGGACUGCCGGUGUCAAACCGGAGGAAGGUGGGAUGACGUCAAGUCCUCAUGGCCUUUAUGUCUAGGGCUACACACGUACUACAAUGGCCGGUACAAAGGGCAGCCACUCAGCGAUGAGGCGCUAAUCCCAUAAAGCCGGUCUCAGUCCGGAUCGCAGUCUGCAACUCGACUGCGUGAAGUUGGAAUCGCUAGUAAUCGCGGAUCAGCAUGCCGCGGUGAAUACGUUCCCGGGCCUU
Molecule: ribosomal RNA, 330 nt
Filed under: uncultured Desulfovibrio sp.
Lineage: Bacteria; Pseudomonadati; Thermodesulfobacteriota; Desulfovibrionia; Desulfovibrionales; Desulfovibrionaceae
Description: bacterial SSU rRNA
Rfam family: Bacterial small subunit ribosomal RNA
Source: RNAcentral